RNAcentral lists this long non-coding RNA (417 nucleotides) under Mytilus galloprovincialis (Mediterranean mussel). Lineage: Eukaryota; Metazoa; Mollusca; Bivalvia; Mytilida; Mytilidae. The record is from RNAcentral.
GAUCGCGUUCCUCACGAAGUAACUCGUCUUCGAGCUCAGCGAUGGCUUUAUCGGCAACUGGAUUUUUGUUCCGAUUUUUAACACGGCCAAUUUCAAUUGAUAUGUUGAGUUGCUUUAAGUAUGAAUCGUCACAUAAAGGGCGAAAACCCGGGGCCGGGUCAACUCGAACGACAACACUGGGACCGUUUAAAGGCUUUAAAGGUAUCAAUAAGUGUAUUAGCCCAUCUCGCAAGCUACCCAGUUUUUCGUCUUUGAUAAAGCAUGUACUAGUGUACGACGUUACAGUUUCUCUGACGACCAGUAUGAGUUGACGGUUGCGCUUAAGAACGUCGGCCACGUAAGAUAUGCCAACCAAGUCCGGUGGGUCUUCUGAAGACUGCUCGACGAGGCUCUUAGGGAACCGUUUUAAAGACGCGC